CCCUUAGAUGUUCUGGGCCGCACGCGCGCUACACUGAUGCAUUCAACAAGCCUAGCCUUGACCGAGAGGUCCGGGUAAUCUUUGAAACUGCAUCGUGAUGGGGCUAGAUUAUUGCAAUUAUUAAUCUUCAACGAGGAAUGCCUAGUAAGCGUGAUUCAUCAAAUCGCGUUGAAUACGUCCCUGCCCUUUGUACACACCGCCCGUCGCUCCUACCGAUUGAAUGUGUUGGUGAGGAGCUCGGAUUGGCAGCAGUUGGUGGUUCGCCACCGGCUAUUGCUGAGAAGUCCUCCAAACCGCCCCAUUUAGAGGAAGGAGAAGUCGUAACA
RNAcentral lists this ribosomal RNA (326 nucleotides) under uncultured eukaryote. RNAcentral's name for it is "partial 18S ribosomal RNA". It matches the Rfam family "Eukaryotic small subunit ribosomal RNA", at positions 1470 to 1796 of the family's 1831-position model. The record is from RNAcentral.